Molecule: long non-coding RNA, 2957 nt
Filed under: Nicotiana tabacum (common tobacco)
Lineage: Eukaryota; Viridiplantae; Streptophyta; Magnoliopsida; Solanales; Solanaceae
Description: long non-coding RNA (NTAB_LNC013614)
Source: RNAcentral
UCUUAAAUAUGAGUCACCUACAAAUCACUAUCAAAUAGCUUCUCCAUUAAAGGUCUUUCCCGUUUUUUCCUCUUGAUCGUGCAAAUACCAAUGCGCAUCUAGAAACCUUUCAAUCGUUGAACCAUCUCUGAAAUGAAAGUUUAACUGAAGGUUCACAACCUCAAUUUCAAACCCUAUGCUAAAAUCUCAAAUUCAUUCAUGAAAUUAAAUUGUAAAAGAACUUACGUGCAUUCAAUAAUUUAUGGAAGCAGAAAAGUAUCCACAACCAAAACAAGAACAAAGACAAAGGCGGAUAAAGAACAUAAAAGAAAAAGCAGAGAAACCAGUGUAAGGAAAGAAGCAAACAGCAAAAAAAUGAAGGAAUCGUGAUUAUGUAAAUUUGAUAGAAGGGAAAUAAAAUGAAUUAGAGCAUUGUAUUUCUUCAGAUUCACCAAUGUAUGAAAGUAUAAUGGAUUGAAUCUUCAAAAGCAUUUUUCCCGUAAUUUGGUUCUCAUACUGCAAAUCUGCAAAUUAGUUAUUCUUAAUUUAUUCAUUAAUAGUUAAUGCACAAUAUAGCUAAGUUUACGAGGACACGGUAUACUAAGGUUCAAUAUGACAGGGAGAAAACCCCACAAAUAAUUACCUUUCCUCUCAGUGUUCAAGUAAUUGUUAUCCACAAAAUUUUAUUUGUAUAAUCUUCUAAUUUUCAUUACAUCAUAAGCUUGUUUUUUCCUGCCGCUUAUCUUUCCUUUACAUUUCUAUUCUUGGUGGAGUUUCUUGUUUUCUCAGCAUAAUCGGUUAUCACUUCAUAAAACCAUCAUCUCUCGAACGAUUACUAACUUUACAAUAAAAAUUUAUUGGUCAUUUUAAGCUGGAUUAAUGCUCCAAAGUUCUAAUAAGCUGAGGAUGAACUUUAUUUUUCAUUAUGGUUAAGAUAUCUCAUUGGAUCUAACUUUCAAUCCCAUAAGUCGGUAGGAGAUUUUUUAAGGGAUGCAAUAAAAAAUUCAACUGGGAUAUAUACGAAUUUUGUCUGCCACAUGCUUGCAAAGAAAACCGCCCCUUAUUCCUCUCUAAUCUUACUACAUUUAUGUCUAUUACGCUACAUAUGCAAGCCUUCGGCCCUUCGCAGUAAAGACUUUUCAGUAAGUGUCAUAGCAGCAAAGACUUUUUGAUAAGUGCUUUAGCAAUAAAGACUUGGAUAAGAAGACUUAGAAAAAACAAAGUAUUUUUUUAUCACUAACUUUUAUCUUUAAUUAGAACUUGUUUGGCAUAAAGUAAAUUUUGAGUUGUCUAAAACAUAUGUUGAUUCGAAUAGGUCGUAUAAUGGGCACUUCUGAGACUAAAUUUCCAUUUUAAUAGUACGUAUAACAUGUAGUUCACUCCAAUAAUGGAGCAAAGCCUAUGCAUGUACGCAAUUGACUUAACAUAGUUGAAAGUUAUAAAUUAGCUAUAGAUUAUUACUUCCAAAUUGUGCAUACAAUUUAGCUUGAAAACUGCGAAUAUUUUGCAGCUAUUUAUGCUUCAACUCAACUGCAGCUUAGAUAUUUGUAGCGUAUACCUGAAAGCUAUAUAGAAACUGCUAAAUUCCUACUUGUUAAAUUUUUUAAAGUAAUUAAUGGACAAUUCUAUGAUUAAUGGACCAAGAAGUAUUCUUUUUGUUUUGCCUUUCCUGAACCUCCUGGAUAUCAGCCUCUAUGAACUUUAAGUUAUUCUUUAAUUCUUCAAACAACUGCUCAUGCAUCAUCAUCAAAGUAUAUCAUUUAAGAGUUACAUAUAAACAAUACUAAUAAGUGGAAGGAAAUAUAAAAAAAGGAGGAAAAUGUUGCUUUCCGAGAAAGGUGAAAAGAAAUUAUUACCUGUUUUAGAGCCCCAUAAUCUUGCGGAACUGAAAGAAUUAGUUGCUCUUUACUACAUUUGCUUGCACUUUCUGAACAAAAGAACCAAGUAAGAGACACACAUGCAUGCAUAGAGAAUCAAUUUUUACUUAUCAGUUCUUUGAGAGAAAGUAUGUAUAAGUUGAAGAAUGCAGCGUCACAAGGUCUAAAACUUGCCACGCAAAACCAAGAAUGUUUUGUAUCUACUUUCUAUUCGGACCAUAUAAAAGCAAGGUAAAAAUAUCAAGAGUGAUGGCACUCUUAAAGGUUGCAAUGCCUUUUGAUGACCCUCGAGGGAAAAAAAGAAGAUUCAUAAAACCAUUCUUACCUAUUGGGGUCUUCUGCAACUGUUAGUGCAAGUGAUGAGAGAUUUUUAUUAGUCUUAUAUCUCCAGUACAAGAAUUGAUCAGGUCCUGGACCUAGGUAGCUGCUUCAAUGCUGCAACCUGUCUAAUAAAUGUUAAAUAGCAAUGGAACAUAAAACCAAAAAAAUUAGUUAAUGCUUUUUCGGGAAGAAACAUGUCGUGGAGAGUCUUAUUUCCUUCAAGAGAUUUUAUCUACUAACAUUUUAUAGGCAUCAGUGGUGCUCAUAUCAUGUAAGAUUUAAAAGAGAAAUGAAAAGAAGCUGACAAGAAACUAAAGAUUAAACAAAUUUGUGUAACAGAAAUCACAUGCCACAAAAAACAUGGAGAAAGACAGACAGCAAUAUGUAAUCAUAAAAUAUCAAAAACACCGAAACCAAAUUAGGACACCAAAAACAAAGAACAAAUCAUUAAUAAUUUCAGUUGAUGAACAAAUCGUUUGAUAACAUAAAAGUGUUACAUUAGUCACCAGUCGAUUAUAGAUACAUGCAUGUACAAAUCAAUACACCAAGCAAGACAAGAAAUAGAUUAGAAAGAAAAUUACCACAAACGUACAACAGUAGAAGCAACCACAGGACAAGCAAUCGAACCAUAUGCGAUUAGAACAACAUAAAGUGAAAAAAUGGAAGAGAAAGCAACGAAUUUUCAAGCACAAUGAAAAGGGGGGAAAUGGUGGCUUAAAAGUGAAAAAGAGUGGGAAUUAGGGCUGAAGAGAAAAUGGAGAAAUAGAGACCAGCGGUAAA